GACGAACGCUGGCGGCGUGCUUAACACAUGCAAGUCGAACGGAAAGGCCCUGCUUUUGUGGGGUGCUCGAGUGGCGAACGGGUGAGUAACACGUGAGUAACCUGCCCUUGACUUUGGGAUAACUUCAGGAAACUGGGGCUAAUACCGGAUAGGAGCUCCUGCUGCAUGGUGAGGGUUGGAAAGUUUCGGCGGUUGGGGAUGGACUCGCGGCUUAUCAGCUUGUUGGUGGGGUAGUGGCUUACCAAGGCUUUGACGGGUAGCCGGCCUGAGAGGGUGACCGGCCACAUUGGGACUGAGAGACGGCCCAGACUCCUACGGGAGGCAGCAGUGGGGAGUAUUGCACAAUGGGCGGAAGCCUGAUGCAGCAACGCCGCGUGCGGGAUGACGGCCUUCGGGUUGUAAACCGCUUUCGCCUGUGACGAAGCGUGAGUGACGGUAAUGGGUAAAGAAGCACCGGCUAACUACGUG
RNAcentral lists this ribosomal RNA (468 nucleotides) under uncultured bacterium. RNAcentral describes it as "partial 16S ribosomal RNA". It matches the Rfam family "Bacterial small subunit ribosomal RNA", at positions 28 to 507 of the family's 1533-position model. The record is from RNAcentral.